This 37786-nucleotide long non-coding RNA is filed under the name Coffea arabica (coffee). RNAcentral describes it as "long non-coding RNA (CARA_LNC006075)". The stretch from base 13633 to 13816 matches the Rfam family "U2 spliceosomal RNA". The record is from RNAcentral. Lineage: Eukaryota; Viridiplantae; Streptophyta; Magnoliopsida; Gentianales; Rubiaceae.
UUUUUUUUUUUUUUUUUUGUCUUUUCAUUAAUUGGGAUAGAUGGUUAUUACAUGACUUUAUGCUUAAUCAUGCUUCCGAUCAUAGGAUGAAGAAAUAUCAUGGGAUAUGGAAAACCAAAAUUGACUCUAUUUAUGCCCAUCAAAUUAAAUGGAUGUUGAAAAAGAUACAUAUAACAAGGCAAAUACUCAUGAUGGUUUAUUUAUACAUGCAGUGGCUGUUAAAUCAUCCCAAAUUUAUCAACAAUCGCCUUUACAUUGCCGGUGACUCCUAUGGAGGGAAAAUUGCUCCCAUGGUCGUUUUAGAAAUAACAAAAGGUGGUAAUCCUGAUUCAUGUUUAGAUAGUUAUAUUUAGAAAGAUUUGCUUCCACCAUGCUAUAUAUAUCACCGUGUGUAGGUAAUGAGGCUGGAUUGACGCCGCAUAUGUCAAUCGAGGUGUGACUCCCUUGAACACAAUUUUUUUUUUUCAUUAUUAGCCAUUUAGUCUUGCUAAGAUUUCAUAUAAUAUGUUGAAACAAUAAUGUUGUACUAUGUUCUUCCAAAAUGUUGAAAAAGGGAUACUUGAUUGGCAACCCUGCAAUGAAUGUUCCGAAGGAUAUGAAUUGGAGAGUCCCAUAUGCUCAUCUUCUGGCGCUCAUAUCAGAUGAGUAUUAUGAGGUGGUGCUCAAGUCCCUUGAUUGUUUUUGUUAACACUAGUUUAAAGCUGAAAUUAGAAAGAUUAAUGUUAUGUUAUCCAAAUUAUGUUAUUUCCCAAGAUACAAAUACUUAUACUAACCUUGCUCAAUUUUUCCUUUCUAUACUAAACCUAACCAAUGGGAUAUUGGGCUCUUUUGGAAUUGAAAAGGCGGAAGGAAUAUAAGUUUUCCCAUGUUAAUUCAAGGAUUUGGACCUGCUGCUAUUUGAUGCAUUUGUCUUUUUUUCAACUUUCUCAAGUUUGAAUUCUCAGACUUCUUACUUUUCAUACUGUAAAUUUACUAUCAAAUCAUGGACUAAAACUGAGAUUACAUGAAUUUCAGCGGGCAAAAAGUAGCUGUGAUGGGGAAUACAUGAAUCCAAACCCGAACAAUACAGAAUGCCAGUUUGCUCUUCAGCUUAUUAAACAGGUAACAGCCUUACAGCUGCAUUAGCAUUGCUGCUGAGUGCUGACUAACCAGCAUCUUCCAUUAUGUUAUAGAACACCGAGAUUCAAUUAAAGCAAUUCUUUUUCCUACUGCAGUGUACCAGCGAUAUAUGCCUUUCUCAUAUUUUGGAACCAAUAUGCAAAUUUAGAGCACCAAAACUACAUGGACUCGAAUGGGAUCUAACAUAUUUUGAAGAAGAUCCAAAUGACAUUCUCCUCCUCUCAUCCGAUCAAGAAAAUCCAAAGUGUCGCGUAACUUCUUCCUCCUCCUCGUUUGAAAUUUAUAUACUAACUUUUACACAUUAUUUUUACUUUAUAGCAUGCUAUAUAUCUUUCCCUGAUUUUAAAUAUUUGCUAAAAUCAACUUCCAUUGGCAUGCAGUUUACUGAUUAUGUGCUGUCCUGUGUAUGGAUGAACAACCCAAGUGUCCGAGAAGCUCUUCAAAUUCGAAAAGUAAGUUGGUCACGAGGAGGAAAAGCAGGCGUCAAUCCUUAAAUGUUUUUUAAGUUGUGCCAUCUAAUCUUGUUUUCUAACCAAUUUUUUCUGUUCAAUUGCAAGGGCACAAAGGAAAAAUGGAAAAGGUGCAAUGGGAGCUUACCAAUAUCAUAUGACCAAGAUGUGACAAGUGUGUUUGACCAUCAUCAGGUUCUUAGCACAAAAGGAUAUCAAGCUCUAGUGUACAGGUUAAGGAUGGGAUAUCUGCUGCCUCCUUAUAUUUGUCACGCUCUUGAAUCAUCAUGCAUUUCUUGUUUUGUCUUGUCAUCAUUAGCCAAUUGAAUAGCUCAUCAACAAUAUACUUCAAUUGCAAUGAAAAAUAUAGAAAAUAUAUAUAUAUAUAUAUAUAUAUAUCAAUCAGCAGUUCAGCACAGAUUCAUUGGCAGAGCAGGAAAUUUUAUUGAUCAUGAAUUAGAUGGUUAAUUUGCAAGAUUCCAAGUACUUGAUGCAAAAACUAAUUGAGCAUCUAUCAAUGAAGUUUGUGAAAAGGCCCAAAAUUUUAUUCCUUUAAGAAGUAGGGACUAGGAAAUGCAUUUUGCACUCAAUUGUCCAUUUUGAUCAGUCAGUCCACCUACAUCCCUACUUCUCCUGCAGUGGUGAUCAUGAUAUGAUGAUUCCCUACAUUGGCACACUCCAAUGGAUACGUGAUCUGAAUCUUACUCUUGAGGAGGAUUGGCGACCUUGGUUUCUCAAUGGUCAAAUUGCAGGGUUCGUUUUCAAAUUUUUAGCUGUAUUUAACAGUUGUUUUCUUUUUUUCCUCAAAAUUUUCCCCACUAAGAGCCAAUGCAUGAGAUUUAUAAGUAACCAAAUAUUCAAGAACUUGUCCCUUUCAGGUACACAUUGAAGUACCAGUUCCAGGAAGAUCAGUGCUAUCUCACGUUUGCAACUGUCAAGGCAAGACAAACUCUUUGGCCAUGAGUCUUUUUCCUCAGAAUAUGCAAGGAAACAUGAAACAAGUUAACAUAUUACUACGUUUGUUAUAUAUUCUCAGGGUGGAGGUCACACUGCUCCCGAAUACAAGCCAAAAGAAUGUUUUGCCAUGAUCGACCGAUGGUUCUCUUAUUAUCCUUUGUAGAUCAAGAAAGAAAGGCUUCAAGAGAAUAUUUCUCUACAGUUACCAGAAAGAUCCAAUUCAAGAUUCCAAUUUUAUUAUUUCAAUCAUCACAGAAAAUACUAGUAAGAUGACCAUUUGCAAAAUUCUUUCUAUGUUAAUAAGGCUCAACAUUUUCACCUUCAGUGAUGUAAAAGAGUAAAAUACUCUCGUUUGGUCUAGAAUUUGUCAGUUCCGGGUGGAAUGAGCCAAGACACACUAUCAACUAGGAAAUUGAUGAUUGAAAGGAAGUAGUAUGCGAUAAAGAGUAGUAACUUGUAAACCUCCUAUCCAUGUCUACUAAUCUUUACCCGUGAGUUUGGUACUACCCCAAUUUCCAUCUCUUCCAUAUCCGAUGGAAUAUAAAGAAAUCGCUUUAUCAUCCAACCAGAUGUCCUUAAGACAUCCACAACGCUAUUACACAUUGUGGAGUGUAAUCCACAUGUCACGUCAGCAUUACAUUAUCUCCUCUUUUAUUAUACUUUCACUCACAAUGGAUUACACUUAGCAUGGGUCCACAAUUACAUCAAAUAUUUAUUUUAAUAAUGCAUAACUCAUAUCCCAUAAAUAAAUAAAGUAAUUUUUAAAAAUAAUUUUGUUAUUUUUAAAAAAUAAAGUACUAACUUUCAUUAAAUUUUUUACCUUUUGAAUUUUUUAUUUUCUAAAAAUGAUAUUAUUAAUUUUUAAGUUUGAAUAAUAUAUCUUUUUCUAUCUCUCAAAAAUAAUAUAUUAUUAUUUUUUCAAAAAUAAUUAUGUAGAAAAUUACACAGCUAUUUGAUACCUCAAGUGCAAAUAUAUCAUAAUAAUCCAUAAUUAAUUAAUAAAAUACAAAUGUAAUUAGUUGAACUCCAUAACAUAAUAUUACAUAAUUUAAAUCAAAUAAAAUACAAAUAAUAACAAAAUGAAUACAAGUUUUAAGUCAUUUAAAAAUGAUUAUGGAUUCCACAACAUCAUGGUCCAAUGGGAGACCGUGUCAUGGAGCAGUGUAAUGGCGUUGUGGAUGCCCUUACACAGUUGAUGGAUCCACUCAUACGGUUACCCCAAUUUCUCUUCUGAUUUUCUUUUAUGCCUAGUUUGGGAGUUUAAAGAAGAUAAGAGAAGUAGAUAAAGUUUAGGUUAGAAAAACAUUGGAGAGAAGAGAAAGGAUAGGAACACUCUUCCAUCUUCUUGGAGAGUGGUGGAAGAGAAUAUGGAGAGAAAAAAAUUGAUAAUAUGAGUAUUAAAUAUUGGAGUUUGUCUUGAUGUACAAAUAUGCCAAUUCACAACCAGUAAAUAACUCAAUAUCGCUUUCCUAUAAUUUUUACCCCUUUCGGAGAGACAGUUUAAUUUCUUGAGCCAUUCAUCCUUCCAUUUCUUUACUUUUCUCUCUAUUUACACCUCUUCCUCUCUCUCUAUCUCUCUCUGCCCUUCGUUAGCAAGUUAAUAAAUUCUAAUAUCUCCUGAUAAUAUUCAAUGUCAAAAUUUUGAAAUCAAAUGCUAAAAUAAUCGGUGAAUAAAUUCUUAAUUUUCAAGGCUGAGUGGUUGGCAGCUUCAAGCGUUUGGAAAAUAAACAAAUUCUAAACUAGUUAAGAGGAGAAAAUAGUACGCAUCAAGGAGUACAUCCAAUUAACCGGAUUACACUGCAGUGCCUUCAAAUUUCUUAAAGCAACACACAAAUAUUAAAUUGUGCUACUUAGCAUUUGCCAAAUUAUUAGAAUAACGCCACUAAUAAUAGAGGCAAACAUAAGAGUCUAUUUAACGCCACAAAUCAUUGUUUGAGUGAUGGUAAUUACUCAGAGAAACAAUUAUACUGGAACAUUCAAAACCAAUCACUAAAUUGAGCACCCUCGUGUUGUUGAAACUUUACGGUUUAAUUUUUAUUAAUUCUUUAGAUUUGUAGCAUUGUUCUUUAGAUCUUAUUGUAUCUAUGUAUGUGUGAAGUAAUUUUUGUCAUUAGUGUAAAUUUAAUUUAAUGAAAAUAUGGUGUUUUAUCCAAAAAGAAAAAAAAAGAAGAAGAAUAAAUGAAUAUCUCAAAUCUUUGAACUCAAUUAAUUAAGCGUUUGGUAGUCCUAACUCCUAAAGCUAGUCGUCCACUUUCUAUCUUGAACUGCAAUAUUUCAUUUCUCUCCUUAAUAAUUGUGCUCAAGUACUAAACUUAUUUUCCAACCAACCAAAUCAAAUUAGAAGAGCUAACUUGACCAACCGGCCGAACAUAUAUACGAAACAAGGAAAUGGAAUUGCGUAAACAACCAGGCUAUUUGCUUCACUAUUUGCCCCAGGCCUGGACUAGCUUCUAGAGUUCUUUCACUCCUCCUCUGUCCUCACAGAAUUUGGUUCACAUGCAUGUGCAUGAGUUUGCAUUAACAGGCUUGAUACUUAAUUUACUUCUUCUUUUCCUUCUCUUUAACGUUGCAGAUGCACAAAACAUUGUGAAGUCCCUGCCAGGUUACCCAGGAGCAUUACCUUUCAAACUUGAAACUGGGUAAUCCAUCGUUUAAUCUCCUUCUUCUUCUCCUCCUUCAUCGUUUAAACUUGAUUGCAUUAAACUUGUGGUCAGAUAUGUUGGGGUGGGAGAAAAUGAUAGCGUGCAGCUGUUCUACUACUUCAUCGAGUCGGAGAGAGAUGUCAGCAUGGACCCUCUCGUGCUUUGGCUCACCGGUGGCCCCGGUUGUUCUGCUUUUUCCGGUCUUGUUUACGAAAUCGGUAUGCUCUCUGCUUUUUCCGGUCUGGUUUACAAAAUUGGUAUGGGUAUGCUCUCUUGAGUCUCGUUCCAACUUUUUUCCUCUUUUAGCAGGCGGGGAGCUAGACUUAAGAAACGGACAAGACUUGUGGAAAACGGACAAAAUCGAGAAACUGUUACGUUUAUUAGACAUUAGUGGGUGGGAUGAUUUAGUUUAGAUGAUGAUAAAAGAUUGGGAUAAUUCUGUUAAUUUCACUGAACUCUCUUGAAGUUUUUAAUAUUACAGUUAACUCUGUUGAUGAUAAACAAUGAUUAUAAUAAUAUUCAUAAUUUUUCAAAAGACAAGCCAUUGAUUAAAAAGGGAAAAGGUAACAGAAAAAAAAAUAAUUCUUCUUGACCAGACCAUAUAUUGUGGUCAAACUAUUUCAGUUAUAACCAUUAAAUUGUAACAUUCUAUCAUUCAAAUACACUAAUCAAGGUAGACGUCUCCUUCCUUCUAGCAUCAAAUAUGUUAUUGCUAUUGAUGAUGAUGGAAGCAAUCAUCUUUGCCAACAACCCAAUUAUUCAUAUUAUUGAGCAUAAAAAAGCUACUGGAUUACGGAAAAAUAUAAUUUGAUAGACUGUACUAAAAUUAUUAUCCCAAACUUGCACUUUUGUUGAUGUUUUGCCUUUUAAAAAAUUUUUAUGAUUAUUCAUACUAAGGAAAUUUAGAUGAGGGCAAUUUUGGGCAUUCAUAUACUUUUUUCCGUCUUACGUCGUCAAGAUGAAACCCAAACUUAUGUACUAAGAGAGGUAUGUGUAAUUUUCAAAACGUGAGGAGAGCUGUCUAAAAUUACUAGAAACCUCAAGGGAGCUUUCUGAAAUUAUCCUAAAAGAUUUGAACAAUAAUAGUUUAUUGACUACUAAGGUACUUUAUUUACCAUCCACUAAGCUGCAGCUACUUCUUUAAAUGUAGGUCCUUUGUCUUUUGAUGAUGAACGUUACAAUGGAAGCUUGCCUUCAUUGCAUGCAAAUCCUUAUGCCUGGACAAAGGUGCACAAUUUAUAUCAGAUCCAUUAAACUGCUCUCAACAUCUGUAUUGAAAUUUUAUUUGUAAUUUGCUGCUCAUGUGUUCAGCAGAUUGCCAGCAUUAUCCUUUUGGACUUGCCUGUUGGUACCGGAUUCUCGUAUGCAACUACUUCUCAAGGUUACUUCUCCUCCGACACUAAAUCAACGAAGGAUGCUUACCUUUUCCUGCAAAAGGUGACUUGAAAAAAUCUCCCAACCAUCAGUUGAUUUUUUAAUAAUUUUAGUGUAGCUAGCAUAUCAUAUCACUUUGGAGAAGAAAUAUCGCGGGAGGGACCGAUAUUAAUUGAUUCUCUUUUUAAUCUUUAAUUGAAUUGACACCCGAAAGAUGAAUAAAACUAUGAUGCUAAUCCAAUGCAGUGGCUGUUGAAUCACCCCAGAUUCAUGAAGAAUCGCCUCUACAUUGCUGGUGACUCCUACGCAGGGAAAAUUGUUCCAAUGGUUGUUUUAGAAAUAUCAAAUGGUGGUAAUGCGAUUAUUGUAAUAAGUUUUUCAUGAUGGAAGUAGCUUCCACCAUGCUCAAAAUGAAACUGAUCAUUACUCUGUUUAGGUAAUGAGGCUGGAUUGAAGCCACGGAUGUCAGUCGAGGUGAAUCCCUCAAAAUACACCUUUUUUUUAAAAUUUUUCGGUUUCAAUCAUUAGUUUGCUACACUUUAUGCUGGCUAUACUGAUAUUUGAUAAUUUUAAUUUCUGUGUUUUUCCAAAUCCUGAAAAAGGGAUACAUGGUUGGCAACCCACUAACGGAUUCUAGGAAGGAUGAGAACUGGAAAGUCCCUUACGCUCAUCGUCUGGGACUUAUAUCAGAUGAGUAUUACGAGGUUUUACUUUCUUCCUCAACUUUCACAAACUUCCUUUAACCGUUGUGUGCUUUAAUUUGCCUGUUCCACAGUCCCCAAAUGAUAGUAAAUGUGAUGUUUCAUUUCAUUUCAUCACAUAGAGAUCCCUCUUUUUUUUUGGGUGAAAAAUUGACUAGAUCAUUGAGGCUAGCUAUUUAAUUUCAGCGGGCUAAAAGUAGCUGUAAUGGGGAAUACAUCAAUCCAAGCCCAAAUAAUACAGAAUGCUUGUUUGCUCUUCACCUCAUUCAAGAGGUAAGGUGCAAAAUACACGAGUUCUGACUAUUAUUUAUUUGGCUUCAAUUCCGUUAGCAUCACGAGAUUACAGCAACUCCUUCCUAUGCAGUGUAUCAGUGGUAUAUACCCAGCUAACAUCUUGGAACCAAAAUGUCAACAUCUAGCAUCAAGAGAAGGACUCCAAUGGGAUCAAGGCUAUUUGGAAGAAGAUUCAAUUGAUAUUCUCCUCCCCUCAUUCGAUCAAGAAAAACCAAAGUGUCGGGUAACUUCUUUCUCCUUCCAUUUUUAUAUGCACAUUACGCAAUUUCUAAGAUUUUCUAAAACGUGAUCUCAUAUGUAGGAUGAUACUUAUGUCCUAAGCAGAGUUUGGAUGAACGACCCAACGGUCCAAGAAGCUCUUCAAAUUCGGGAAGUAAGUAAAUCAAAUGGGGGGAUAUCAUUAUCCUUGAUGUGUUUUGGUUGUACCUUCUGAUAUUGUAAAAUGACCAACUUUUCUCCCGUGCAAUUACAAGGGUACAAAAGAACAAUGGAGAAGGUGCAACAGAAGCAUAUCUUAUGAUAUGGAUGUUGCAAGUGUGUUCGACUAUCACCAGGUUCUUAUUAGGAAAGGAUAUCAGGCAUUAAUAUACAGGUUAAGUAUAUGUCCUCUUGCCUCUCCUGACUUGUUACAUUUUUUAAUCGUUUCUUGUUCUCUUUAGUUACAAAUUGAAGAUCCGAUCAACACAGUGCUUUUCUACAACAAGGACAAAAUGGACAAAGAUAUAGAUUCUUAAACAAAAUUUUCUAUAGUUCAACUAUCAUAGGAAAAUAUGCAUUUCGUAAAUUAGAUUAUCAGUUGGAGUAAAAUUAUAAGACCUGAUGGACCAAAUAAUUGAGAGUUUAUCUGAAUAAGGCCUAAUGAUUUGUUCUGAAAUUGCAGUUAUAAGUCCGGUUUUGAUCCCCAUUGUGUACCCUAUUUCUUUUGUUCCCCUGCAGUGGUGAUCAUGAUAUGAUGGUCCCUUACCUUGGAACACUUCAAUGGAUACGUGAUCUCAAUCUAACUGUUGAGGAUGAUUGGCGACCUUGGUUUGUCAAUGGUCAAAUUGCAGGGUCAGGUUUCAUUUCCACCUAUAUUCAACAGUUUCUUUGCAAUAUAUACCAAAAAUUGUGUGACCUAAGCUAACAGCAAUGCAAUAAUUUGUCCUUACAGCUACACACUGAAUUACCAAUUCAAUGAAGAUGUAUGCUGUUUCACAUUUGCAACAGUAAUGGUAAGAAAAUGUUAACCUAAUUCCUUCUUCGGAUAACGCACGAAAGCAUGGACAAAGUAAUACUUUUCUUCUUGUUUUCUCAGGGUGCAGGUCACACUGCUCCAGAAUACAAACCAAAAGAAUGUUUUGCCAUGAUUGACCGGUGGUUCACUAAUUAUCCCUUAUAGAUCGAGAUAAAAAAAAAAAAGAGUGUUCCUAGAGUUUGUAGGACUUACAAUCACAUCUAUGUAUUUUGUCCCAUUCACCUUAAGACUUGAUGUUGUAUCAAGCGUUUAAGUUGAGAUAUCAAUAUUUGUGAUUUCGUGAUAAGCUUUACCCAUUCCCUUUUGAAGUACACAAAAUGUGUAAAAUCCAAAUGUGAAUCGGCGGCCUUCUUUGCAGGCUGAUUAAUAGCAUCGUACCUCUUUUUUCAAAAAAAAAAAAAAAAAAAAAAUCAGUUGAAACCGUCAAAAAAUCGACCAAACGCAUGAACUGGUUGGAUAAUUUGACCUCGGUUUCCAAACUUUUCUUUCUUGUUUUUCUCAAACACAAUACAAGUGACCUAACUUGUAAAUCUUUCAUUUAUUAUCAGGAAUAAAAAAAUAUCGUUAAAUCACUCACAUCCUUAAACAAUCUAUAAAUCAAGGGACUUUUAAUUCCUAUCAUCUUAUCAAUUUAACAUGGGAGAUUCCAACUUGCAUUAGAAAGCCAUGUAGGCUUUUAAUCCCUAUCAUCUUAUCAAUUUAACAUGGGGAUUCCAACUUGCAUUAGAAAGCCAUAUUCCCUACGGAAAGCUCUCGAAUUGGGUAUAUUUUGGUUUAAUUUAGUUUUACAAUUAGUUUAAUAACUAAUUGUCUCUGCCAAAGUAUCUAUUAUUCGUAUCUUUCCUUGCUCAUCCUGAUAAAUUGCUGGUCUGAGGGUUCUUAUUAUGAGUUUUGUCUAGCAUCUUAUGCUUCCUGAAGAACUCCUGUUUGAGCAAUUAUAAGUUCUGGAAACGUUGUUACAUUCUGGAUUAUCAUUCAGGUGAUUAAAUGUGAUUUUGCGUUCAUCUUCUGGUUUCCCUUUUGCAGAACGCAUAUGACACCCUUUUCUUCAUUGUGGACCUGCAUGCGGUAUGUCCAUAUCUGUGGACUGUGAUUGUUGUUAUGUUGCUUUGAACUGCUGAUUAAUCACACUUUCAUUGUUUUUCUUGCUUCUACUGUGUUGUUUGGCAUUUGUUAAUCACUUGUUAUCUCCUGUAAUUUUUCUGAAGACCAUAACUCUUUGUGUUUACAUGUUUUCUGAACUCAUUUAUCCUUGAACAACCCAUCUGGUACAAGGAAGCACUGUUUCUGAAUAUCUGGUUGUAUUGAUAAGCAUGAAAAAUUAAUCAUAGAGAUAAUUUAAUGAAAUUUAAUCGGAAUAAAUAGCUGUGCAUUUUUUUUUUGUCCUUAGAGCUUGAUCAAAGAUAGUUUUUAUUGUGAAACUAGGCCUUAUAUCACAACGGUUUUCAAGUUUUUGUCCUGUCUCCUUGAACUUGCACGAUAGACACUUGGAACCAAUUCACUCACUGAAAAGUAAGAUAAUCAUAUACUAAGUCUGGAAAUUUUCUGUCUUUAAUUUGUGCUUCAUCUUCAUUCUUUUGACACGUGAUUUGUUGCUGACCAGCUGAACUUUCACCUGGUAGCUAUUUUCUUAUUCAACUUCUUUCAACUGUGGGGGAUAUAUAUGCAUGUACAUAUACAUAUACAUACGAACACACACACACCACAUACAUAUAUAUGUGUGCGUGUGUGUAUAGGACAUCAGUUCAUGGUUUACUAUGGUUGUGAUAUGGAAACGAAUUAUCUAAUUUCAGUUUGGGCAUGUUAUUCAUAGAUCACCUUGCCUUAUGAUACACAACAGCUAUCCAAAGCAACAAAAGAAACAGCAGCAAUUUACUUGGCAUGUGGAGUGGAUCCCUCCAAGGUCUGGCUCUCUUUGUAUAUUUAUUUAUUUUUAUAUUGCCAAUUAUUCAUCUCUGUAGGCUAAACCUAAAUGUAGAUUUUGUUUUCAUGUUCAGGCUUCAGUGUUUGUGCAGUCUCAUGUCCGUGCUCAUGUAGAAUUGAUGUGGCUGCUCAGUUCUACAACCCCAAUUGGUUGGCUGAAUAGAAUGAUCCAAUUCAAGGAGAAAUCAUUGAAAGCGGUGCGUUUUUGCUGUAUGUAGCCUUUUCUAUUGGUGUUGCUUUUGCCUUCUAAGCUUCUUGAUAGUUCUUUUACCUAUAUUUUAUAUAUGCAGUUAGGUAAAUAGGCUGUCAUUUAAACUUAGAUACAAUUAUACCCUACCGAAAAAUUGAAAGAAAAUGAUGGGUAUCUUUAUUUUAGAAAGUGGUAAUCAUCGGACAACUCUCUAGUUACAGGUCUGCAGCAGCCUUGCAUGUUAAUAUUUUUGGGGACAGAUUUCUUGUAUGUUUAAAUAGGCAAAUUUACUGGGUAGGGUUCAAGAUUUCUCAUCGCCUACGGUCAUAUAGGCUGACUACAAUGAAUUUUUUGUUCAACCUUUCUCAGGGUUCUGUAGAUCUUGGUCAAUCUCUCUUCAGCUGAGUGGACCUAGUCCAAAUUAUUGGGUUUAGUUGUCAAGAAUAUUGACCAAAUACCUUAUAGUUGGAAGUUGUUUGAUACUAGUAGUCGCCAGGCACUGGGGUUUCACUUUAUUUUGCUUUCAUGGUGUUGCUAUUUUGUUUUGAUUUAUCUCUUCUGUAUGUAGGGAGAUGAAAAUGUUGGGGUUGCUCUGCUGACAUAUCCUGUCCUAAUGGCGUCUGAUAUUUUGCUAUACCAGGUGGGUUGUCCUAUGCUGCAUUUUUGUGUUAGGGUGUGGGAGAAUUUAUCUUUAAAGUUGUGCAUAUGCAUGUUCAUUCCAAAGUUGAAGCUGCAUUUUUGUGUUAGGGUGUAGGGAGAAUUCAUCUUUAAAGUCGUGUAUGUUCAUUCCAAAGUUGAAGGUUACAUUUUAAAGUUCAGGGAAACGACGCAGGCUUCCAAAUUAGUUCUUUUGUUAGAUUUUUUUUUCAAUAUAGCAUCAGUAGAAUUUAUAUUCUGUGCGGUGAAGGCUAUUACUUCAAUAAUGUUGCUGCCUAUACAUCUUGAUGGUAAUAUCCUGAGGAUCCAUGAUUCUCAUACAUCGCAGCGUUCCCCUGCAGUCUGAUUAUGUCCCUGUUGGGGAUGAUCAGAAACAACAUCUGGAGUUAACUCGAGAACUUGCUCAGCGUGUUAACUAUCUUUAUGGAGGAAGGAAGUGGAAGAAAUUGGAGGGUAAGGGACAAGUUUUGCUUAGGGUCGAGCACCUGCUGAAUAUCUCAUUGAGAAUUUCCUUUGCCUUUCAUUUGAUGCAGUUACUCAUGGUUUCAAAUUUUUGUUACAGGCGAGGUGGUGCAAUUUUUAAGGUGGCUGUUUUCUUCCUUAUCUGUUUGAGGGUUUUACGUAUAUUCAGUUAAUAUGCGUUUAUUUCUGGGAAUGACUCAUGUGAUAUUGCAUAAUCAUUGUAGGUUCCGGAACCCCUUAUUCCACCUGCUGGAGCUCGAGUCAUGUCCCUAACUGAUGGUCUUUCAAAGGUUUGGAGUUUUACAGUUAUACUACGUUAUGUUAUUUUUCUGUCUUAGAUCUCACUCUGUAAAUACAACACCAUAAAAGACUUUUUAAAUAAGGCUAAAGCUUGGGUAGACCUGGUCUUCAAAGACCAAUGGCCCAGAUUGUGCCACAUCGCUUGGUUAAAAGGGAGAUAUUUCUUAUUUGAAUGUUUUUCUGCCCUUUGUCAUUCUCUGGUUAAAGAAAAUGAGUAGGAUGGCAUGGGCAGCUGCACUGUGUGUGUUUGUUGCGCCUCAUCAUCCCCUGUUGAGGCACCUGGAAUCCUUGCUAUGUGAGCAAGCACUCGCCUACCCUGCACCAUUGCAACCAGAACUUGGGAGCACUAUGACAGAUUGAUCUGAUUGAACUGAGGACAUAACUAUGAGGGCCUUAGACGAAGUAAAUGGGUCCUUAAAUUUCUCUCUCUAACACAACUCUCUCUCUCUCUCUCUCUCUCUCUCAGAGCUCCCCCCCCCCCAACAAUAUUAGUAGCUAAGAUGAUGUGUUUAACUCUGCAGAUUGCCCUUUUGUUUUGUUCGUCAACUUGAGAAUUUGAUAUCACAUAAAUGGCAGCAACAUGCAAUGGGACAAUUAAAUAUUGCAGGACUCUAGUCUUCAUUGGUGCUCUAUUUUUUUCAAAUAUUUUUUGUAAUUGCUGUUUUUGAUACUCUUUAUGUGACUGAUUUAUUUUUGUUAUAGAUGUCCAAAUCGGCGCCUUCUGAUCAGUCUCGAAUCAAUUUGCUUGACCCUAAAGAUGUGAGUUAAAUUGGUUUACUGCCUUAAUGUGCUGCUAGUAUACCAAGUUUCUGCUAGUAUACCAAGUUUUCUGGAAAGUCAAUGUCAAUGAAGUGCUGAGUUUGAAUUUUUUGAGUUCCAUUUGUUUUUAUGUGGAUGAGAUAAUCUUAUGCCUGAUUUUUGUUGUUAUACAUUACCUUAUGGUCUGAUUUGAACUCUUUUGCUUUCCAUAGGUUGUCAAUAAUAAAAUUAAGCGUUGCAAGACUGACUCAUUUCCUGGGUAUGUAUUCAGUGCCUUACUGACCUUAGUAGUUGGAACAAUUAUUUGAUUUAUGAAAAUACUUUUGCAUUCAUUCUUUGCUUUUUGAUUCAACAAGCUUGUUCAGAUUCAUUUUUCUUUUUCUUGUGCUUGUUUCUCUGCGGUGAAUUAUGCAGCCUGGAAUUUGAUAACUCUGAAAGACCUGAAUGUAACAAUCUUCUCUCAAUUUAUCAGCUCGUCACGGGGAAGACAAAGCAGGUUCAAUACCUUAAAGCAUAAUGUGUAUUUUUGCUGUUGUAGGUCCUAUAUUAAAGUGGACCCAAUGUGAAACUUGUUUAUUCAUGGAAUGAUUAUGUAGUAUCUGUAAUUAUCAGUUUAAUGUCUGAUACAUGGGCCGAUGGCCCACAUGAUAUUAACUCAAUUUUUCAAGGGGGAAAGCUCAUUAUGGUAGCUUGCUACCAGGGACUCUUGAAUGUUGCCUAGGCCUUGCACUACGGCCUUUGCGUGCACAACCCACCUAAAAACAAGACAAAAAUUUAAAAACAUAAAAAAAAAAAGAAAUAAAAGUUCACAAAAAACACCAAUAAUGCGAAAGGUUAUUGCAUCUUAUUUUGACAUAUUUUUAAACGUUUAUGAAAAUGAGAUGCAGUGAUUGUGAUUCUAGAAAAACAAGUGACACAUGUUUUCAGAUUUUUUAUUGUUUUAUGAAAGAUGUAUUCAUGUCUCCUUAUCAUGCAUACAACUUUAAUCCAAUCUUUUAAAAACAGUUAUACGCUUUCAUUUAUAGGUUCUUCUACGCCAGUGAUCUUUGUCUUUCCUCAGGAAGUGGCUGAAGAAUGUCGAGAUAUGAACUGGGGGACGUUCAAACCCGUCCUUACAGAUGCUUUGAUCGCUCACUUGCAUCCCAUCCAGGUUUCUGUUCUUACAUUAGAAUUUUCAUUACCAAGACAGACUAUCAGAUAUAGCCAAUUAGUCAUACUGAUUCUCUGCUCGGGAUGUGAAUACUUUUCCUAGCAUAGGGAGUAAAAAUUGCAGAGUUAAAAUUGAAGAGUAGCCGCAACACUAUUUCAGGGCUGUGAAAUUAUGUAGAGAGGCACGCCUGCUUCCCCAGGAUCAUGACAAUUAUUUUGCCGUGUAACCUGUAUAUGUGUACUAUGUUUCUACCAUCCAAAUGCCCAAUUUUUUUCAAGCUAAAAUUUGUACUGCUCUUUCUCAUAAGCCAAACAAAAAUUCUUUCUUCCAUUUGUCCUUCUCUGAGUUCAAAUUUUUUUUCCCUUGUGCUUCAAUUCACGUUUGAUAUGACAAUCAUGUAUUCUCAGAUGACUGAUUAUAUCCUAUGUCAUUUCAACCUAAUUAAUUCUUCAUAGUUGGCCUUACAUUUUCUUCUGCCUGCACUGACUGGUACUUUAUAGUGGAUAUGACAAAUAAGGCGUGUGCAUCACUAAUUAUAGUUUAUAACUUUUCAGGUUCGAUAUGGGGAAAUCAUGUCUGAUGCAAGUUACCUAGAUUCAGUGUUGGCUGAAGGUGCUAGAAAAGCUGCAGACAUUGCAGAUAAUACCCUCAAAAAUGUGUACCAAGCUAUGGGAUUCUUGCGGUGAUAAAUAUAACCCAUGCUGCUUCUGGAACUUGCUGAAAGGGUCAGCUCGAUAGCAACCUAAAAGCUCACUCAUCAAAAGUUCAAAUUCCAUAUUCUCCAACAUGCAUUAUCAUGAGCUCGUUACUGUUGAGGGGAGAAAUAAUUUAUCCAAAAAGGCAAGCAUUAAAGCUUUUACGCUAUCCUCACGCCUCCCUUUUAAGGGCGUGAAUAGAUGGAUUUUGAACAGUUGAUAAUUCCCUUAAUUCCCUAUUCUUUGAAAUCUAUACCGUGAUUUCUGAUAGGAGUUUGCCUUUAUUGGUAUAUACAAAACGUACACCUCUUGAUCAUCCUAUAAAUCAAUGUAAAUUGUAGCUGCAAUUCCAGAUGCAGUAUGUUAUGCCAAUUGAUGGUCAGUUUAAGGAUUUAAAACACCUUUGCUCCGUUCCACUUGAAUUAUCUGGCAUAAUCCAGCUUUAGCAUCCCUGGUGCACUUCUUAAAAGAAAAUGAAUGGCAUUACAAUUGGAAGUUCAAUUGUCUCUUGCUGAAUUUUAGUUCAACGUGCCUUGUAAUUGCAAGUUCUGGUAUACUUUCCAUCUGCUGGUUCCUUAAACUUUUUCUUUUUAAAGGGUUUCAGAUGUGCCGAAAGCUCCUCCUCCAUCACUUUUUCGUUUUCAGGUUUUGGGUCCAUGGUAAAUUGUUUUAAUCUUUGACUUGAAAAACUAGACAGAAAGGUGAGAGAAAAUCAAAUAAAAGUGAAAAAGGCAGGAUUGGAGGAGGAGAGAAGAAUCUAUGUCAUGCUCUUAUCGUGUGGCAUGGAACUUUUGGAUGUGGACGUGAGGAAUUUUUGUUCGGAGCUCACUUAUAAAUGUGAGCCACGUUGAAAUUUGUUUGGAGAAUUGCCACAUCCUCCCUGGGUUCCUUAUCAUCAACAUGGGAGAUGGUGACUGGGGAGGAAGAAUAUCCAUCUGUCCCAGUAGAAGGAAGAGGAAAAGUUUUAAUCAUGUUCUGAUGCCCGAUUAGUAACCCACCCACCUAGAGCUUUUGAAUCUUUUAGAAAGGCAAGUAGGAGACCACACAGCUCCAUUUAGCGUGAAAGAGAGGUCAAUGGUCCUCCUGUGAAAGCUGUAAUUUUGCUACCACUCUCUCCUCUAACCUCUUGAUGGGCGGCAAGGGAAUAAAGGGUGUAAAUCUCAUUCAGUUACUUUUGCUUUGCAUGAUAUGCUGGGAUAGCUAAAAUGGAUCUUCAACAGUGUCGGGCAGGACAAAGGAUUACUGUCUGCUAAUGUAAAGGAUGUGCUCUUUUUCAAUGAUUACUGAGAUUCUCUCUUUUAUCUCUUUGUCAUAGCCUGGUAUUAACUCAUUCCUUGAAACUUUCCACUUUCCUAAGUUACUCUUUCUUAUUGCGUUAAGUUUACCCAAAGUAGAUAGAUCUUGAGUUCCUAAAGCAGUUCAUUUUUGGCGCAGAAAACUGGGUCAUAUGCAGUGAUUAUUCCUGCUGGUCAUAUGAUGGUCUGCUUUUACGUUUCCUGAAGAGACAUGUUGUCGCUUCCGGUUACAAAGCAGAUUCCCUCAUGGGUGGUCAUGGACCGGGGGUUCUCGAUCUGUUCAUCUGAGUUUUUUUUUUUUGUUUAAUAAAUUAGUGAUUUAUAGGUCGGUUUCCAUUAGUUUUGAACUUCUAGUAUCAACCUUUGGCUGUUUAAUGGAUUUCUGAGUCUACUAUAAAAUUGUCUUGUUUCUCAUAAAACCAUUCAUUAGUACUCUUUAUAAUAAAAAAGGGACAGCAAUCACUGGUAUUCAGUAUACAUUCUACAUGGUUAUAUUACUAAUCUCACAGUGUAAUCUUGAAUACAUGAAAGCAUGAUGUGCAAAUUUGGAUGGGUAUCUAAGUUUUCUCUAUACCCGAAUGUGUGUGUAUCAAGUUUGUGCUCUAUCAUGUUGCCUGUAAAAUAUACUAUAUAUAUAUAUAUAUAUGCUUUUUGUUAGGCUAGUAGUUGUACAUGCAUGCAUGUAUUGUAUAUACAUCUAUUUACAUAUUUAUGCACAUACAUGCAUGCAUUUCAGUUUAAAUUCUCUGUAGCUGUUGAAAAUCUGAAGCAACCAUAAACUGACCGUACUGUAAUCAGACGAUUUAGGCACCCUGAAACAAUAGUUCAUAUGGACGUGCGUUGCAUAGCACUCGUCUGAGUAGUUGAUUGCUCAAUUUGAUUUGUAAAGUCAGCCGUGGUUUAUUCUGCAUCUUGUUGUCAAAUUACUAGUAAUACUCUAUUCAUGCUGACUGAAUAUCAGGUUUUGCAUAGCCAGUGAAGGUUUCCUGUUUUCAGUAGUAGCACUGUAAGUAGGAGAUGGCCACUUUUCGUGGUUGAUUAAAUUGCACUACUAUUUCCGGGAUGGUCGACCAUUCCCUUUCUGUGCCAAACAUGGAUCACAAAUAGGUGAUUGGAUAAAGUUGCAAAUUUCCCGAUUGGGGAAUCAUAUUAUUAUUGAACAAACACUACUACUCUUUUUCAAGUAUGGUUUGAAUUUAUGGUUCAAGUCAUGUUGCGGCGAGAGCACAAAGCAUGUUUUCCUUAAUUUGAACCAUACUUCAGGAAUUAAAUAAUUUCUUCUUUUUUUAUUUUUCUUUCAAUUUAUCUAAUUUUUAAUAUUCAUUUUUAAGAUUUAAAAUAAUUAUUGAUUCAAAACUAUUUAUGGAAGCAAAGAUAUGGUUUUUAUAAAAUAAUAAGCAAAAAUUUUUUCUAUUUUUUUGGAUUGCUUGAAGGUUAAUAAAAUAAAAAUAUGUUCUUUUUUUAAUGCAACAUGAUCUCAAUAAGGGCAUUUUCGGCAUUAAGGGGGGUUUUGUUAAAUGUUUGAUCAUUUAAAGGGUGAGAUCGUUAUUUGGACAAAUUAUAGGGAUUGAUUGGUAAUAUGGUCAAAUCUCAGGGGAGGUAAAUGUAAUUAACCCUUAUUUUAUCUAGGUUGAGUUAGACAUGCAUAUGCAGCUAUAAGUAGAUGCUAAUGGGCUUUGAUUUAUGUACAUUACUACAACUCCUUCAAGUUGCCAUAAAUUUUGGUCGGGUUAAAAUUGAUUGAAAAUUUUGAUAAAGUAAAAAAAAGGGACGAAUUCAAUAAAAGUUGUUAUGAGCUAAAUAUAUAAAUAUCCUUGGAACUAUUUGAUAGGAUUGUGACAAACAGUACUAGCUUGUGUGGUAUUUGAUUGAUGGCAAAGCAUGAUCGAAGUGAUUGAGAUCAAUCUUGCAAAAACAGCUACCUACGCAUAUUGAUGGGGGAUGCCUAGGACCCUUUAGAAAUAUGAUCUGAAAUGCUCCUCCUCAAGCAGGCCAAACCUCUUUAUUGGGAGAAUACAUCUCUCUCAAAUUAGCUUUUGAAGUUCGUCUGCAAAUUUGCGAGCCUACUGUUUUUUCUCACAUAAAAAACCUCCAUAUGAUUAUCAAUUCUAAUCAUUGGAAAGGCCAUCUAGAAAUUAAAAUAACAAAUGUAGACAUCUGUGCGAGUGCGACGAAACAAUAAUAUAAUCUGCAAUUACCAUCCUGUCCACCUGCAAGAUUUAGCACAUUUUUAGUUUCCACAGUCGUUCAUUGCGAAGAUCUCAAACUUGACAGUUGCUUGGAAUCUACUCCCCUUCUUUUAGCUUUUUUCUGACGGCCAGGUAACCUUUUCAUGAGUAUCUCUUCUUUUCGUGACCUGGAAAGUGGCUUCACCAAUUGUCUUUUGAUUCAAUGAUGCCAAUUCAGAGGGACUAACAGGAAUCAAGCAACUGGAUCAGUUUGCUUGAGAUUCAACUCUGUUAUUAUUCUGUCAAGCCUCAACUAACAGGAACGCUUAUAUUGAUAUGUUUUUUCUCUAUCUCUCGGAUCAAUAUGAGAUAUAACACUUUAUUCAUGAAUCUAACAAAUCUCUUUCUUUAUGAGUACCCCUCAUAUUAAAUCCAAAUUUACAAGCUCUUUUUUGAAUUCAGUUUAAUACUCAACACAAUCUCACCUUAUCACCUAAAAUCACCUCUUCUCCCAAACACAGACAUACUCUUUUUUAACAUCCAAACUGUAUUUUAAACCUCUGCCAACCCUUGAUUCCUUGGUUUAACACCAACUGGAACCCUUGCCAAACUCAUGACGCACUUGGUCCAAUACUAACCAAAUUCUUUGGCACUUUGAUCCACCACUAAAAAGAGAAUUUUUACCAAUCCAACUCCGACAAGAAUUCACUUGUCCAUGAGUGGUCCAGUCUCGCAACCUGAAGUUCUGAUACCUAUUUGAUAUGAGAGAAACACCUUGAGAGAGUCCACUAAAGAACCCAAUAUAUAAGUCAGGAAUCCAACAUUAAUCGAAAAGCUUAAUCCAUUAGGUUUUGGGCCCUUACUUACAUAUUAACUACUCUUUCUCUAUCUCUCGGACUAAUGUGGAAUAUAAUUCUUUACUCGUAAAUAGAGCUGUUAAACGAACUUAGCUGUUCGUUAGCUCGGUUCGUUUCGGCUCGUUCGUGCUCGUGAAAGGUCGCGAACGAAUUUUUUGUUCGAUUAAUAAUCGAGCGAACGACGAACAUGUUCGCGAGUUUUAACGAACGUUCGCGAGCAUGCUAAACGAACGUUCGCGAACACGAGUAUGUUCGCGAGUUUUAACGAACGUUCGUGAACAUAGACAUAAUUAUCAUUUGACAAAUUUUAGGGUUAAUUUUAUGGCUGGACUUUUAUAUUUGGAGAGCAAAUUUCUUUGUUUUAUUUGUUGUUUUUAUGUUAAUGUUAGUUAUAUAGUUAAUGAAUAAUAGAAUUUAGUCACUUAGUGCUUUAAUUAUUUUUAAGAAUAAUUAAUAAUUUGCAUGGCAUAUUUAAAGCAUAAAAUAAUUUGGAUUCGAGCAUUUCGAACAUGUUCACGAACGGCUCGUUUAUGUUAAACUAGCCGAACACGAACUCGAACUCGAACACGAAUUUUACUUAACGAACCGAACACGAACACAAGUUUGGAGUUCGAAACUUAACGAACGAACACGAACGUUGUUCGAACUGCUUAACGAACAGAGCUCAAACAUGAGAUACUCGGUUCGAUUCGGUUCGUUUACAGCUCUACUCGUAAACUUGACAUAUAUAUAUAUAUAUUGGAUUGAGCAGUUUCUCAUGACCAGCCACGUAGGAUGGUGGAUAAUUGAAGAUUUGAGUAGCCUAUUAUACAUAGAAGUGGCAUGUGUAAAAGACAGAUGGAAAUAUGUCAUCAUAUUAUAAGCUAUCAUGGAAGUGGCACAUGUAAAAGAUGGAAAUGGGGCAGGAACGAUUGUCAGUGACAACCGUUCCUGAAGGUUCACGGUCACGAUGUGACCUCAAAAAUUUGUGCGGCUCAAAUUACAGCAUGUAACUCGAUUUUCACGCCAUGUGUGGAACUCACAAAAAAAUGUUGUAAAAUUACAUCGUGUGCAAAGUAAAUUACAUCGUGUGCAAUGGAAGUUACGCGCCGUGAAAAAUGAACACAACCUGCAACCGUUUGUGCCCCUUGUCCGUAAAAGAUAGAUAUGAAACAUAUUAUUGUAUUAUUUCCUAUGAGAUAAAACAAAAAUCAUUCUCGGAAAAGUUACCAAACAAAUGGAGCCAAAGUUUUUUUUUUCUUUUUAAAUUUUUCAGGAUGGGAGGGACGGCGGAUUUGAAAAGUGGAAAGGAGAAAAGAGAAACUGUUUUCUUUUCAAUUUUUUUUUUAAUAAGAGAAUGGAGAGAUUUAAAAAGCGAAGGACGGAAGAUUUGAUCGUAGCCAAAGUUAUCAACACACACAGUGAAACAGUGUUGCAUCUCAACUUUAUCUGGUGGAUCACAUCCAUGUGGUGAAGCAAAAAGCUACAGUCCGAAAUUUGUUCUUUUGGAUUCACUAGUUUUUCAAAAAUUAAUUUUUUAAAUACUAUUAAAAUUUUUUUUGGUACGAAGUUAAACCUAAUUGGUCUUUUUUUUUUUGGUACGAAGUUAAACUUCAUUGGUCAUUUGAUACUUUGGACACAAAUGGUGUCCUAGCCGAAAGCUUUUUUUUUCUUUUUUUAGGAAUCUUGACGAGAGAAGCUUUUUUAUCAGAUUCCAUGUGAAUAAAUGUGAAGGAUAUUGUAUCUUAUUCUCGUGGAUGCCCACAUAUCUAACAUCCGAUUCUGAGUUGUGGUUUAAUUUGCAGGGCUAUCUUGAUGAGCAAUUUAUUCAGCUGGAAGAAUUGCAAGAUGAUGCUAACCCUAACUUUGUGGAGGAAGUUGUCAGGGUUUUCUACAAUGAUUCAGCAAGACUGAUCCGUAACAUUGAAAUGGCAAUGUGAGAAAAAUCCCAUCCUUAAUAAUUAACCUAGUUUCUUGGUUUUGCAUGCCAAUUAGUAAAUAUCAAUCCUGUCAAUUACAUUAUUGUUGUGCAGGGGGAAAAACCCUAUGGACUUUGGCAAGUUGGAUGAUGUCAUGCACCAGUUCAAGGGUAGCUGCUCAGGGUAAACUGUAGUUAUUUGGAAGUAAUCGUGUGCUAAAAUGGCGAAAUAGUGAGGAGCUAGAACAGUGCCCUUGUUCGGUUUGCAGUUUUUCAAGAAGGAAAAAUUUUCAUGAACCCGCCUUCUAAUUAUUUUUUUAAUGUAUAUGCAUCAAAUCGUUAUAAUACAUUUUUCUAUAAAAACUCUAAAAUAAUAAUUUAAAAAAAAAACAAUUCAAAUGGGAUGUGUUCAUCCAUCCUGGAAAAAUCGGACACUAAUAGAACUUGAUUGAUAUCUAGAGAGUCUUUCUUCAUUAUUCCUUUUUUUUUUUUUUAGUUUCCCAUCAACAAAUUUAAGAGCUAGAAGUGAAAUAAAGGUGAAAAGCAAAAGGGUUGGGAGAGGCCUUGACCAUGUUUAGAAGGUGUCUUGUCUAUUGGAAAAUGGAAAAGGUUUUCAACACUCGACUAACUACUUUAAGGUCGACUCAAAUGUAGUGAAAAGCACACAAAUGCUGAGUAAGCGAGAGGGUAUCUCUUGGAAUAAAGUUGCCAAAAAAAAUGAUAGCUAGCAUAUAUACUUCUGAUCCUUAUUCUUCAAAUGCCUGCAUCUGAAAACAUCCCAUCAAAUAUAUUGACUGAAAGAAAAAUUCAACUGCUCCAAAUAUUCCUUAUGGAUUGAAAAGUUAGAAAAAUAUUAAAGAUGCUCACGCUUGCAACCAGCAAGCUGGAGCUCCAAAGAUGUAAUUUCGUUCCCACGUUGAUAGAAGCCAGAAUAACAUGCUUUGUAUCUGCAAAUCAUUACGAUAAUUGUGGCUAGUUUUAGAUUGGUUUGAUAUUGCUUAUACUUAAGUUCUUUUACUUAAUUUAGAGGAGGAUAUGUUGAUAUAUAUAUAUAAUAUAUAUAUAUAUAUAUACAUAUAUGUUACUGAUGUAUGCAGAAAAAAAGUUGGUAAUUGGAUCUUUACACAGGAUUUCUUUUACUUGGGGCGGGGACCGUGGGGCUAGGAGCUGGGAAAAGGAUGCUGUAUUGAAUUUUGGCACGGGAUGCAUUGAAAACAACUGUUUGGCGUAUUGACUCAUAGAAAUUGUCGAUGCACAAGCAUUUUUUGCUUCAUAAGUAAAGAGAUUUUAGAAGUCACCAUCUUUCAGUUGGGCUCCAGAGAUUCCAUGCAACAUUUGGUGAUAUGGAUGAGGUGGGCUGUAAACGACCACGCUGGCUGACUUGAUACAGCAUUCUAGUAACGCGUUUCCAUUGAAAAAACUGCAGACAAAACACAAAUCUUAUCCAAGAUGCCCUAGCCAAGUUUAAUGUUUCAGUUUCAGAUUUAUUGAGUAUCUCUACCCCCAAUGCAGAUAUGUAUUGUUCAUGUGGCAAGCUAGAUCUACUCUUGCUCUUCGAUCAAUACUGGCAUAACAUCUGCAUGCAUGCAUGCGUGCGUGCGUGCGUGCAUGCAUGUAACGAAACAGACAGUACUCGGCCCUGCAUCUGAAUCUUAAAACAAGCGUUUUUAGGCCAAUCAAGUUUUUCCAAGAAUUGGAUGCGCAAUCGACUUCUUUGUAAACUGGUUUAGCAUUUCAGAGAGAAAACUUUUCUUUGUUUCAAUCUCAACAGCUGAGAAGGUUGCGUAUCGAUUGCUAGAUAGUAGACAUUCUUGUAGUGAUUGAUCAUUCAAAUUAACCAUAUGCAUAGCACCCUGAUUGUCCUUCAACUCGAUGCAGCAUUGGUGCCAAAAAGGUGAAAAGGGAAUGCACCGAUUCCAAGACUACUGCAAGGAAGAGGACCCUGAAGGGUACAAGUUGACUUUGCUCAGCUUACAUCUUUCCCUCAUGCUUUUUUAAUUUGAUUUUAUUUUUUUAGUGACUUAUAUGAGCCUAGCUAAAUGAUGGUCUAUUGCUACAUGAUUCAUUGGUCGUGCAGAUGCAUGGGGGCCUUCCAAGCAGUGAAGCAAGAACAUGCAACCCUAAAGGGGAAACUAGAUGCUUACUUUCAGGUGUCUUUUCCGACUUCUCUUUCCCUCCUCUACCUCAGAUAUGGACAGAACACGCAUGCACCUGCUCUUUACGGUUUAAGCCAAAAUACAAUGCAUAUCUUUCCUUAUGAAUCUACUAUUCAAGCAGUAGCGUUGAUGCUAGGAAAAUUUUGACCCACACUUUCCAACUUUUACGAUAACUGCCAAAGUACGAUGAUCCAGAAUCCGCCAAAAGUACUACGCAAAUUACUUGUACUUGAUAAAUAUCUUACGUUGUCUUCUCAGGCCUGUAGCAUCUAGAAAUUCCUAGAUUCCUACUUUUACCAAGAAAUAAUCGGGUGAAAAGGAAAACUACCACUGAGAAACGUAAGUACAAGUAUUCACCGCCGCAGCAUUCUCUGAAUACUUAUCCACAGCACACCCUGUUGAGUGUUGACAUGAAAAAGACCUAUAGAUAGAAAAAACAAAUUUUGUUUAAGACAACCAUUUUCAGUAACAUCAUAAAACACCCACAAAUCUUCACAAAAACAAACAUAUGAAAUACGGUCCCGGUACCAGAGGUUGCCCGUGGUGGGGAGAGGGAAGGGUGUGUUUUACCAUCUUGCAUCCUUUAUACUUCAUGCACUCAAUCCUACGAAUCAUGGCUCUGUCAUUACAUACAUAUUAACAUGCACAAGUAGUAACACGUUUUUCUGGCGUAUUAAUUAUGACUGAUAAAUUCUGCUUGCUCUGAUUUCACUGCAAUUUUAGUUGACAAGGCAAUGUUGAAGGUGCGCCCAACACCUUCAAGGACGGGUUAGCUAGACAAAGAUAUGGCGCCCGUAGCAAGCUUUCCAAAUAUCGCGACUAUGACGAGCAAAUAAUACUACGGCAUCGGGAGAUAUAUCAUUUCACUUGCUAUAGGAUCUCCAUCCACGACCAUGGAUGGAUAUUUACGGAAAGCAAAAGCAUUAGCAAAUAAUACUAUAGCAUGGCGUUACUUUUCAUUCUCGAUAGAGUCAGAGAUGCAGAGGAGUAGCAAUAGCAAAAGAAGAAAUAAUUGGCAGCUUCAAUCAUCAUGAUGAAGUUGUGAGAAGCGUGAAAUUGUAUCCAUAUAUAUAUAUAUACUAUAUAUCUCUACCUAUCUGAGAAUAACGGAUAUAAUAUGACAAUAGUUAUCCAGCCUACACCUAGAAUUGCUUGCUCAAAGAUGAUUUGUGGGUUUUUUUCUUUAUGUCUUUUUUGCUCCACGGUUCCGCCAUUUCCCCCAAAAGUAGCUAGUUCGAACUGCAAAAAGUGAACAUCCUCUCCGUUUUCCCCUUUCCUUCGAUGAAUUUGACCAAUUCCAUUACCCUUUUCUUGUCCAUGCACGUAUAAUAUCAGAGUCCCAUGUAUGAUGCUACAGACAGCAAAGAGUCAUUGGAAUAUUCAUUAAUACAUAAAGCAUAAAGGUUGAACUUUGAAGGGAGGCUUUACUUUUGAAACAGGGAUUCUACAAUGCAACAACUCAAGAAUAGUCAAAACUGGCUUUAUAUUCCGUGCUAAAAAUGAUUAUAACAAUUUAAUAUUAAAAUAAAGUAUUUAUUACUCCAUUCGUCCUAUUAAAACUAUCGUACUUUUCUUUUUGGUCUGUCUCAAAGUUACGUCAUCUUACUAAAUUUGGCUAAUAAUUUUGUAACUCAUUCCAAUUUUUACCCCUCACACGCUUGCACAAGAAAUCUUUGAAUAAUGUUAUAGGUCCACCUUCUCUUUGCAACGUACAUUCAAGAAAUAUGUUCAAAUAGCACGUGGAUGUUACUAACAUUUAGAUGAGUCAGAAGCAUACUAGAGCAUGCCUACUUGUAAGAAGAUUUAGGCACAAAAGAUAAUAUAUUGGCCCCACAUAUAGCUUCAAAUAUUCAAACGGUUUUAGGGUCCGUUUGGUUGGACUGAAAAUAUUUUCCUAGGGAAAACAUUUUCCAUCGAAGUCAUUUUCCUGGAAAAUCACUUUCUUCCCAUAAUUUUCCAAUGUUUGGUUAUUAAGUGAAAAUAUUUUUCAAAUUUCUUUUUUCAUAAUUUUCCCGGUGUUUGAUUUGUCAAUGAAAAUAUUUUCUGAUAUAUUUAUUAAUAUGUUGUAAAUAUUUUUCUACUCUCAAAACAUUCAUUUUAUUACAGGUUAAUUUUAGUUUUUAUCAAUUAUAAUCAUAUUCUCAUUUUUAUAUAAAAUAUUUAUUCAUAUUACACCAUGAACUCAUGAAUGGAAUUAUGAAUGAUACUAAUGAAUUGGCUUUUUACUUUCCUUCUAAAAAAAAAAAAAUCAUUAAGGGCCGAGAGUCUCUUCAUGUAAGCGAAGAGCAAACAUCAGUUUCUGAAGACCAAGAUUUGGAUCUUUACCGGCUUCUUGGAUGAUAAGAUCCACUCCCAAGCAUAUUAGCAUCCUCUUAACGUCUCCUUUCUGUUGUCCUCAUCAUAUCGUCAGCCUGCUUUGACAGACACACCCAAAUCCUGGGGAGGAAAUGAUCCCUCACCUUCUUAUUGUCGAAGAUUAGCUGACACAGGGUCGUUUUCCCGACCCCGGUCAUUCCAACUAUUGCAAAUGCCUUGAAUCCAUUUUUACCCUCUUUCCUGAGAAGCAGCCUCUCCAAGAAUCUCUCUUUGUCCUCGAAUCCAUGGACCUUGCUUGGAUCCACGUUCGCGAGCUCCACCGAUAUGUAUCCAAAUUCUCUAUUAAACUCGCGUCUGCAGCAUCCUGUCCAGUUUGUAGCAGCAGCAGCAGCAGCAGACCCUGCUCCUCUUUCACUGCCUUCCCACCUUCUAAUUUCUUACUAAUCUCCUUGAGUCUCUUGUCAAGUUUAUAAGCGAAAGCUAGUGCAUCAGGACUGUAUAUACUCUGGCCUUAGACCCUCACCUAAUUGGAAGAGUUGCUUACCUCUGAAAGUGGGGUCUUCCGGAGCUGGAGAUGCCGCUGGCGAAGAAGGAAUUGGUUUGCCGAUGAGCUGUUGCGCGGAGAUGGUCUUUUAUCGCUGCCGAAGAAGGGACUGGUCUUUUGUCGAUGGUUCACCGCUGGAGCUUGUGAAAAGAAGACUGAUUUUACGGAAGGAAAAUAACUUCACAACGAUGGAUUUUCCUCCGCUUGGUGUAACUUAUUUUCUGUCAGAAUUAUUUUCCCAAAUUAAUUGACAGCCAAACAACAGAAAAUGUGGAAAAUGUUUUCUGGAAAACAUUUUCCAUCCAAACAAACAGACCCUUAAACUUACACAUUUUCCCACCAAUAAGUGAAGAUUAGUAAUGGAAAGCAAACACAAUUCCUUCACUCUUUGACCAACCGUUGAUAAAAAACACAAUUCCCCAAAACUGACAAACUUAUUGGACAGAGGGCGUAUUAUUUAUUUGUUGAAUUUGAAAGCAGUAAGAUUUGGUAGAAUUUGUUAGGACUUUUUGUAAUUAGUAGGGAUAAUUUCAUAAACCUCCCUUGAGGUUUUUGACAAUUUCACUCGGUUCCCUUAACAUUUAUAUAAUUACGGAGACCUCUCUUGGUGUGUUAAAAAAACAACAAUGCCUUUUAUUAAUUGUAAACUCAUUGAAAAACUCUAUCAAAUAUUAAAACUCUCUCAUCUAUUAAACAACCAAUAAUUAUUCAAACUACAGUAUUUUUCAUUUAACUAUCUAUCUUCUUUCUCCUACAUCUAUUUUCUUUUCAAACUCAUUUAUUUAUUAUUAUCAACCAAAUAUGUACUACCGCCACUAAUAAAAUUACCAUACACACCAAAACUACGAAUACUUACAUAUCUUGGUAUCUAUUCCAAUUCUCGAUUUUUCACUAUUAUUAAAUAGUUUUCCUUGCGGCCAUUUUUGUUCCAAUUUUUGAUAGGUAUUAACAAAUUGAAAUUGUCAAAUAACAAAUUGAGUUGAUACGAACCCAAUCCCGAUUGGCGAACUCGUACUCUAACAAGAAGGAUCUAGACAAGCGACUCCAAGACUUGAACGUGCGGAACCCUAAACCCCUUAGAAUCCCUUGAUGAGAACUAAGAGUGAUUCUUGACCCUCAAGAAGUGAUUAAAGGAACUUAUAGUGUUUGGUAGAAUGGUGCCACAAACAAAUGUGAUUCUUGCUUAAUAAACCAAGAAGAACACUUAGAACAAAUCUAAGAUAUUCAAAGGAUAAACAAAGCUAAGAGAAAACGCUCUUAAUGCUGAAAAUUAAUAUUGAUAAUUGAUGAUUGAAGACAAUUCGGCCAAGCUCUUAAUGCUCAAAAAUAAUCCUAAUCCUAACGUAUCUUGGAAAAACUCACUAACUCAAACAAACUUGAAAUUAUUAACUCGUCCCUAAUGAACUAAAAGCUGGUCGGUUAAGGCUCAACAUAAGCUAUUCAACCUUAUUGUCAUGCCUACAAACUAGCUACUAAUUUCGAACAAGAAAGUCAAGAAGCAAUCCGUAUGCUCCUAGGAGCCCGUGACCUCCUCUUUGGCUUGGAGUAGAUUCACCAACGUGUGGUGAGUCUCUUGAAUCUUUUCUAUAGGAGCGUGAACAACUUGUAGAAAUGUUUGAAGAGACUCUCGCAUUUUCAUUGCCCUUGCUCGAGUCAUUGGUCCAAGGUUUAUCAUUGGAGCAUUUAGGACUUCACUCGAGCCUUUUGAAUCAGCAACUUGAAGCCUUGGUGCACUCUCAUCAUGAGUGCUAAUUUCAUUAUCAAACUAGAUGGAGAUGAUGAUAGUGAUAAUGAUAAAAAUAAAAUAAAAAUUAAGGAUAAAAUGAAAUAGGAACUAAAUAUAGGUUAUACUGUUAUGGUUGCCAUGAAAUAAAUGUUCUUGAUACAUAUUUAUAACUGCAUUGUGUUUCUAUUUUUGAUUUACAACUAUUGAUGUUAUUCCUGUAGAGAGAAUUUGAUUGAUUUUGAACUCUAUGCCAACGGAGUAUAUUGGAUAUUGAUAUUAGUAGUGAUGAUUUAGAUUAUUUUGUAUUAAAAAGGUGGCAAACAUGGAAUUGAAAUUUAGAGAUAUUGAUGAAUAUUGUUGUGUAUAAAAUAAAAUCUGAUAUUGAUAUGAGAUUGUAAAUAAAUUUUGGAUAUAUGAUGUAGCAUUUAUAGUUGAUACAAUGGUCUGCAUCAGAAAUUUUUAGGAAAAGGAGAAACAUCAGAACAAAGAUAAUUAUUUAUUUAAUGGUGAGUUGGAUGUUGAUGGGGAGGUAAUAGUGAUAUCAAGUAAAGAUAAAUGAAAUAGAGAUUGUGAACCAUUUUUUUCCUUUACAUUUUUGUUGUGAAUUAUAAUUCAAGGGUAUUAUAGAAAUUUUGAGAAAAAGUAUAGCCUUUUGGGCCUAAAAUGUUACUUAAAUAGUGAAAAUAAGGGAGGUAGGUGUAAUUUUUAGAACUUGAGGGGAGCUUUUGCAAUUGUUAAAAACCUUAGGGGAGGUAUGUGAAAUUAACCCUAAUUUGUAAACAUAAGGAUCUGUAACGUGAUCAACAUAAUAUAUCCAUAAUAAAAUACUUCACACAGACUUUACUUAGUAUUUUGAAUUUUUGUACCCCAAAUGGAUUGAUUCAAAUAUUAAAAUUAAACUAACAAAUAAAUUAUUAGAAAAUGACACUUGGCUUGCUCAUUGAAAAGCUUCCACAUGAUGUCAACAGUGAAUAGUACUAUUAUAGUUGACCUUGAGAAAGAGUGAGUUUUUAAGUAUAUGCGGCUUCAGAUACUUAGCAGAAUGAAAGAAACAAAAAGAAUGCCGAAGGGAUCAAUUAUAGAAGGGAUCUUGUUGAAGAAAAGCGAGAAACUGAAGAAACCAAGGAACUUUGCCAAAGAAUAACUCAAACUGAGAAGAUGAAGUGUAAGAAAGAAAUGGAGAUGCUUGUGAAAUAUGUACUAAAAUCAGUAUCUAUAAUUAGAAAGCAGUACAACAAUGUGGAAGGACGGGGAUAGAAUUCUCCAUGCUACAUUUUUCAUGCUUUGAAGUCCCAAACUAAAACUCAUAGAGUAGCAUGUUUCUACUCUUUUGGAAAAGAGCGCAAAAUAGACAAGGAAGUAGACAUAACAUCAUGAGAGAGAGAGAGAGAGAGAAAGAGAGAGAGAAGCACAGUUGGAUAUGGUAGAAGAGGAGGAAAGCAUUAGGGGUAGCAUCUUAGAUUAGGUAUAACUAUGCCAUCUUUUGAAUGUUCUCUUUGUUAACCAAUAGAAUUGAAAAGGGAAUCUAUCUGUCAUAGAAAUAUCCAAAAGUUCAAGGUACAAUGUUUCUUUUGAUACUUGGUUGUGUCAAGAUCUAAGAGGGUGCUUGGUUGGAGGGGAUAGGAAUCAAGCAUUGGAUUGAACCCCAAAAUUGUUGCUUGGCUAAUGGGUAUAGGUUUUGAAAUCUUGGAAUGAUUCAUGAAAAAUCAGCCACUCUCCAUACUCAAGUAGAUUGGAGGGUUUUGAUGAAUCCCACAUUUGAUUCCAAAAUCUUUUAAAAAAAAAUUAUUUUUGGGAUUUUUUAAAAAUAUAUACUGGCUCUGUUUCUAUAUAUUAAUAUUUAUUUAUUUAUAUAUAAUAUUUUUAUUUCAAUUUUGUUUUAUAAUAUGUAUAUUAUAUAUAUAUAUAAAUAUAUAUAUAUUAAUAUACAUAUUAUAAAAAAAUUGAAAUAUAUAUUUAUAAAUAUUUUACUUAUAUAUAAAUAUAUAUUUAUUUAUUUCAAUUGAUAUAAUAUAUCUAAUAUACAUAUUAAUAUUAAUAUAAUUUUAUAUAUAAUAAAAUAUAAAUAUUAAUUGAAAUAUACAUAUUAUAAAACAAAAUUGAAAUAAAUAUAUUUAUAUAUUUAUAUAAAUAUAUAUAUAAAUAAAAAUAAUUUAUAAAGAUAUAUAAAUAUAUUUUAAACAAAAAUAUUUAUAUAUAAAUAUAUAUUAUUUAUUUCAUUUGAUAUAACAUAUAUAAUAUACAUAAUUGAAAUAUACAUAUUAAUAUUACUAUAAUUUAUAUUAUAUAAUUUAUAUAAUAUAUACAUAAUUGAAAUAUACAUAUUAAUAUAUAUUAAUAUACAUAUUAUAAAUUUAUAUAAAUAUAUAUAAAAAUAUAUUUAUAUAUUAUAUAUAUAUAUAAAUAUAUUUAUAUUUAUAUUUAUAAAUAUUUAUAAAUAAAUUUUAAACAGAAAAUUAAUAUAUAUAUAUUAUAUAUGAAUAUAUAUAUAUAUUAUAUAUAUAAUUAUAUAUAUAUAUAUAUAUAUAUAUAUGGUGGAUGGGUAUGUGGGAUAAGCAUUUGAACGAGGAAGAAGAAAGAUAUGAAAAGAAAAAAGAAAUUAAAGGUAAAAAAUGAUUAUUAAAUUUGAUACCCAUUUCUUACCACUAUUUACCAAGCACCCCCAUUUGUAAUCAUACCUUUGUCCAAAACCCAUACUAAUUUUUCGUAAAUGAUUCCAAUUACAAUUCCGAUUCCUAAACAUGAACCAAGCGGCCCCUUUAAAUGUAUGGUGUCAAUAAUGAAACAUAGAAAGUGUAAUGUGUUCUUUACCAUGGCGGGAAUUGAGGCUUUUAUAGAGGAAAAGGACCUUUCAUCGUAGCUUUUUCUACUUAUUGUUUCGACAAAAAAAAAAAUCAUAGCUUUUUCUACUACAUUCUUAUUGCACUCUCUAAAAUUAUAUUAUUCAUCAGUCCAUACUAUUUACUAUCUAUAAUUAUUUAUAUCACCAGUUUAUAUCUUCUAGAAGGAUUCUGACAUUUUGAGAGAACAAUCCGUGUGUCACUUUUUUCAGUUUUUGAAUUAUUUUGUUCUUUAGUAAAUUUGACUAAUCUUAUCUAAUUUUAUUUUAGUCAAUUUAAUUCAAAUCUCUAAAUCCUUACAUUUUAGGUAGGAAAAAUUUUUAGGUAAACAAUCUUAUCAAAAUAAGAUGUCUAAUUUUCUCCUCUUGCUCUCUUAUUUCUCUUUAGAAAAAACUCUCUAACUAAAAUCCUUUCAACUCUCUCGUAGGAGAGAUAUAUUUCCCAGCUCUCUCUACAGUUUCUUUUCAUUUAUGUGAAUAAAAUCUCUUUGAAAAUUUCUAAUGAGAGUUUCUUCUCUUCUUAGGGUUAUUUAGUGAGAGUUUGUUUCUCUUCUAAAUUUUUUAGUGAAAGUUUUAUUCUCUUCUAGGUAUUCCUAGUGAGAUUUUUUGAUAAUUUUUUAUUUUUUUAUUAGAUCUGAGUAUUUUCAGAUUUUGAUUAUCAGAUCUGGAAUUUCUUGGAUCUAUUCGGCAUAUCUCACCAUAAUAUCUAAAUUUGAAACAGUUAAUCAGUAGAUCUGAUGAUUGGAAGUAUGCACAGAUGUCUGUGGAGUUACAAUUAUUUUAUCUUAUUUUUUAAAUUGGAAAUUUAUAAUGUAAUUUUUAUUAUUUUUCAAAUCUGGAGUAUCCUUUUUUUCAGAUCUAUUCUUUGAAUGUCUGUAUAUGUUUGAUGAUGUAAUUUCUACUAUUAGUGCAGAUUUUAAUGAAAUUAUGAAUAUUUUAUAAAGAAAAAAGAUGUCUAAGUAAAAUUAGUUAACAAACAAACUUAUAAAAAAAAUUAAAACUAUGUUUAGGAGAAAUUUUAACUUGAUACGUUUUUACAAGUAGAAUCUCUUCUCAUUCCCAAACAAUUUUGUGAGUUUUACUUAAACUUAUAAAGAUUUUAGACAUUGCUAAUUGUCUUGUUAAAAAUACUUUUAGUAAGGAUACAAUGUGUUCAAAUUGCACAAAUAAUUAGAUUCACUAUUUAAAAUGGUAUUAUAAUUUGUUUUUGCAUAGACUACUUAUAUCACAAAAAGUAUAGCACAACAUUACUAACCUCAUGCAAUCGUGCAAAAAAAUUUUUUUUUUUUUCUACAUCAAUAGUUUCAAUCUACAAAGUUCAAUUAAUUCUCCAUAUUUUCAUCAUUAGUAUAGCAUGCUAAUAAUUUCAAAUUUCAAAGAGUUCUACUAUAUCCACACCACUUUAAAAUUCAAAAAAGAAAAAGUAAAACUGAUCCAAAUUAAGUAGUGCCCGCUGUCCACACUGCAAGGAGCGCUGGAUGUACUUGUUGGUUUGUGGCAGCACAUGCCUUCACUAGCCAAAAGGAGACGACUAUGAUAUGCCUAAAAUCUAAUAAGUACAAUUUGUGCUCCCACUGGACGAAACAAAAUUACCAUAAUAGGCUAAAAUCUAUUAAUAAUUAUAAUUUGUGCCCUCACUAAAUUAUGAAAUUCAAAAUCUCCAUUAUGAAUCUUACAUAUAUAAAGCGUGAAUCGCUUAUGAACAGUGCGCAAUGGACCGGUUAUACCGUGAUUGUUGUGACUUUGAGGGCUGUUUUGGUCUUUUGGCAAUGGAUGGCACUGGUUUUGAACAGUAUCAAGGCAUUUAUGAACCAUAUCAAGGCAUGCACUUCCCACGCCCAAUGCAUGUGGUCUUUCUCCACGCGUCCCAGUAUUCCACACCACGACUCGCCUUUUUGCACCUCCGACGCUGCUUAGUCUGCUGCUACUCGGUCCGAUUCUCUCUUCAAUCUUCAAAUUGAGUUAAUACUGCGGUUGAAAAUUUUGGUUACUCUUUUAAGUCCGAUUCCAUGUGGUUAUGAUAAUAUCAUUAUUGUACUUUCAUCUUUGUAGGCCAAAAAUCUUACCUUCGUACGCAAGGUAAUCUCCAUGUAAAAAAUAUUUCCUGCACAGAAAAAAAAUUAUAUAUAUAAGGAUCUCUAUGUAAACAUUUUUUUUGGCAAAAGGAUAAACUUUCUUCAUAAAAAAAAUGCAAUUUAAGAAAUGGAUUAUAGUUUUAAACUUUUACAGUAGGCCCAACUUUUUUCUUUUGAGCAUGAAAAAAUGAUUCAAUAAAUACAUAUUUUCUAACCUUAAACACAAGUUUAUUAUCCCAUUUGUAGAAUAGUUUCACCAGUUAUUUCUUAGCAUUUUAUUCUAACCAAUCCUUAAACAUAAGUUGAUUUGGAAUUCACCAUUUAAAGUUUCUAACUAUCUCUUGAUUUUGAAUACCACUUUUAUUAAAAAAGAAAAAGUAAAAGAGAAACUCACCUAUUUUAGCACAUGAUUUAAGAACACAAAUAACCUAUAAAUUUGCAGCUUAUGAUACAGAUUACCAAAAAAAAAAAAAAAUCAACAACCAAGUAAGAGAAAGAAUCAUCAAAUAAGUAAGAAUUAUAAAUCCAACGAACCUAGAAAGUAGAAAAGAAAAAUUUUAAGCUCGUUAAAUUAUUAGAUAUUGUAUAUAUCUAAGCCAUUAUCUUAGUGAAAAUUCAAAGAGCUUCUACCAUGCUCCUCGUACUCACCACAUAAAGUGUUGCCUCCUAUACAAAUUAUCAAAACCAAAAUCAUCAAAAUCUCCGAAAAAAAAAAACAAAGAGAUAGCCAGCCUAAAAAAUGGAAGAAAGAAAGAAAAAUAAGAAAAUAUGUAUAUUCACCCUUGCAAGUUAAAGUUGUUCAAUAUUGAGAGUCUGAGGCUUAUUUUCAACAGAUGAUGUCCUAUCCAAAGAAAGUAUCGUUACUCCCUCCAUUCUUGAACACUUUUAAUCUAUCAAUUAAACAAUCAUCUGAAUUGCAACAAAAAGAACAGGAUCCAAUAUGAAAUCCUAAUUAGGAGAAAUGGUAGUAUAUAUAAACCAAGGUCAUGGUGGGCUAGAGUUGAAUAAAAAUUAUGUGUCAUGAAUAUAGACCUAUUAAUGUAAACAAAAAAGCCACUGAAUAUACAAAAAAGAUUAAUUCAAUUUUACAUUGGUUGGAAAAUAUUUUUAAAUAUGUUUGAAUGCUCAUUCAAGUCUAGCAAACAAAAGAAAAUAACAAACCCGUUUUAUAAUUGUCUUUCUUUAUUUCUUUCUUCUAAAAGAUUGUUAAAUGUGAAUUACUAGCAAACAGAAAUUGUCAAAAAAAUGGAAAUUGUCAAUUGCUUGUCUUAGAGAAGUAAAGUGACUAAUAAGCAAGGCUACACAUUACAUAUAUAGCUAUAUAUGCCUUUUAGUUCUACCUAAUUUUAGGUAUUACUUAUUGAUUCAUGCUACAUUAAGAAUGUUAAAUAAUCAUGCCUAAUUUUAGGCAUUACUUACUGACUAAUGCUAUAUUAAGAAUGUAAGAUAACCUGAUUUCAAAGUCAUGUUUAUUUGUACAAUUAAGAAAAAACACACACUCGCACACAUGGCUGUAUAUCUAACAAAGAAAAAAAAACACACAAAUAUAGCAGCAACAUAAUGAGUCUCAGCUACCUGACGUAUGACGUCAGGGCUAAAAAACUAGUGUUAUAGUAAUUUGGCAAAGAACAUGUGAAUGAAGAGGACCAAUGUAGCAACAAACUCAAGUUUCAACGAAAAUUUUGAAUUUUCAUAUUGAUUUUACUUAGCAAACAACAAUUUUUCCUGUCAUUUAAAUAUCUUAUAUAGGGUUAUUUCUUUAGAAAGAAUUUUAAAAAAUAAACUAAUUUGUGCCGCAACUAAGAAAUAUUUCUAAGUCUUUAAACUUCUUAAUUUAACAGACAAAUAAUAAUUACUGAAUUUCAUGUAAUUGUAAAGACUUUUGAUACUUUUCGAUGAUAAUAACGUUGCCAAAGACUUUAUCUUAAAAUUUAAAUUGAUUGUACGCAUAUGUAGUUAUAUGACUGGCCUCCCAAUCCCAGUCUGGGCCACAUCAACUCUGCCCCUUUUGGGCUGUUAACCAUCUUUUUUUUUUCUUUUUUUUUUUUGGGUAUGAAACGAUAAAUACUAUUGUUGACAAUUGACAACGCAUUAAAGAAGAAGCCAAGUCCACAAGGGAACAAUUGAAAACCAUCGAUUGAACGGUCUAAAAUGAAAUGAGUAAAACCCAAUGACAUGAAAUGAGUAAAACCCAAUGACCACACCCCGGGUGCUGCUGCAUGGCUUGAUCUAGAGGAUCGUGAGCAGCUCAAAUACGAGCUCGGUCAAUCGCGAGCGGCUCGAAUACAAAUUCGAUCAAUAUCAAACUCGAGCUAAUCAAGUUGAACUUGAAUACAAAAAUAUUAAAUUCACCGCUCACGAGCUUGAUUAUAUAUUUUUUUAUUUUUUAUUUUAAUAGUAAAAUUCCAUAUUUAUCUCUAAUAUUUUAUUAUUUGUUAAGAAAAAUUUUUAUUUUUUAUUUUUAAAAAUAAAAUAAUUAUUUUUUUAUUUUUUAAGCUCAAGCUUGAACUUGACAUUUUGAACUCUUCGAAUUCAAGUUCGAAUUUGAGUUUCAUAAAAUUAACUUGAGACUUGACUCGAUUAGACCAAAACUCGAGUCGAUUAGGUUCGUUUGCACCCUUAAUCAUAGCUAUAAGAGGUCCAUUGAUUACAGUCAAUAAGCUAACAUUAAUUAUUCUGUUCUUAUAGGAGGCUAUUUGAAAUAUUAUUUAGAAUAAGUAUUAUAAUUAGAGCUGCAAACGAAUCGAGCCACUCGCGAGCGGCUCAAGUCGAGUUUUAGCUGGCUCGAGUCAAAAACGAGCUCGAAGUAGAGCUUAAAAUAUUAAGCUCGUUAGCUCGCGAGCUGGCUCGUGAGUUCGAAUAUGUAUAUAUAUAUAUUUAAAUUUUUGUAUUUUUAGUAUAUAUAUAUUUUAUAUUUUUUAAUUUUAAUAAUAAAAUUACAUAUAUAUCCUUAAUAUUUUAUUAUUUAUUAAGAAAAAAUAUUAUUUUAUUUAUUUUUAUUUUUUCGAGCUUGGCUCGAAUCAAGUCGAGCUCGAACUCGAACUCGAGUUCAAGCUUGAAAUUGUCAGCUCGUUGAGCUCGAGCUCGAGUUCGAGAAAAAUUAUGUCGAGGCUCGGCUCGAUUAGGCCAAAUCUCGACUCAGUUCGGCUAGUUUGCAGUCCUAAUUAUAAUACUUAUUUGCAAUGUGAUGUAUAUAAAAUAAAAUAAGAAGAUAAAAAGUGUGACGAAAAAUGCGUUUGUGAUGUAGAUAAAUAAUUUUUUAGCAAAUAAUUCCUAUCUGAACACAUAAAAUUUAUUUUAUUUUUUUACUACAACAAGCUAACAUAAUUUAAAACUUAACAAGUAGUAAAAGUGACACAAUAUCAAUAUGAUAAAUUGCCAGCACUAUACAACUCACUCGAGUAAGCAUUUAGUGCAAUAGUGUCCCUAGUUGUCCAACUUCAACUCCAUUUUUCCCUCAUUCCAUAUACUUCACGCACAACUUACCCUACCUCCACUCCUGCCCCCCCCCCCCCCCCCCCCGCGGAGCCAAAAAUGAUCAUUCUUCCUCUUCCUUUAGCUCUCGGAACUCAGCUCCGGAGGACCACUAACACUAUCACCCUCUUUUCGUGACAGAAAUAAAGAUCAAUCUUUUUAUUUGACAGAGACCAUACAUCCAGCGAAAGCUAAAAUGAAUAGAUAAGCUCAAAACGUCUUGGCUCGGGCUGCAAUCAAAUCGUCGGACAUUGUUUCCACUUUAGUUUUCAUUUCUCAGCACCAGUUUGUAACAAUUUUGCUUUUUCGGGAUACUCAAAAAGGUAUGUAUGUAGGGAUGCCACAGAAGGAUAUGAACUCCCGCGGCAUUUUCCACCCGCAUGAAAAAAGAAAAGCUCCAGAGCCGACUAUACUCGCCCAGCUUUGACACCUUUCCGUUAUCAAUCCAUCUGGCAAUUGAGUUUAAUAUGAUGGUUCAAAUACUGUGAUUCGUGUAAACUAAUCCACUAAUAUAACGCCGGCCUAUCAUUCGAUAGUAAGAACCCGUUUGAAUUGCUAUUUUCUGAAUUUUUGGGAAAAAUGGCAAUUCAAACAAGUGCUAACUUAGCGCUUCCCUUGAAAAUAAGCUGGGUGCUUAGAAGAAGUGAUGGCCUAAUGAAUAUCCCCGGGGCCGCCCCCAGUUAGGUAACAAUUGCCGAAGUAGGACUACACAACUUCAAAAUACCUUUAAGACGCAACCUCAAGUCUUGGCUUGACUACUCUAGAGGGUCAAAGCAAAAUUUUUUAAGUAACAAAAUACUUUGUAAACAAAAGAAGUAUUUCUGCUAGCAAUUUCAUCAAGUAUUUAGUAAUCUAGAGCAGCAGUCGAGACGCUUCGUCUCAACAAAAGUUUUCAGGCCGAAAGCGGGUAAGAUCACCAGUCAGGCUAAGCAUGAAAGAUGAGAGGUUAUUAUUUAUUAUCAAUAAAAAAAUAUGCCAGAAACAAUGAAAAUUUCUUGGUUCCUUCAAUGAUUGGGAGCUAUACUCAGGAAUGGUACAUGGAGCACCAAACGAAUCUAGUAUUCGAGAGGCGGAUGAGAAUAUCAUUUCAGAUAUAAUUGAUCUGCAGCAUUCUGGUAGAGAAAAUUGAACUCUGAAAAAAAAUGAUGUUAUAUUUUUUUGAAGGAAAACGGGGCCAGCGUAUCUUUCAAUUUGGUUGUGACCCAAAAGAAAAAAGUAUCUUUCAUUUUGGGAAUGACCUUACAAGAAAACUAACCAAAAAAUAAAAAAUAAAAUAAAAAUAAAUGAGAUUGACAAACCGAAGGAAUAUCUUUAAGCAUUAAACUGGAAUUCAACAUAUAUAAAGAACAAGAAAUUUGGAUUCCACGCCAGCAAACCACUGCAAUAUAGAUUGAAUGCGACCAAGGAAAUCAAAGAACAAAAAAUAAUCACCCUAAGAGCACACAUAUAUGACCGAAUAAAAUCCCAUGGAUGACAGACACCAAUAUACACUUGCAGCCAAUAGGAGGGGAAGACAAUAUUAAGGGACAAAAC